AUGAGCCAAAUGCUAAGCAUGAUGAAGCCUCUGCCACGCGACACUAAAUACCCAAGGGAGUUCUUUGUUGAAGACCUAGAGUAUCUGCCCCAAACAAUCUAUCAUAUCAUAAGGCGAACUCUCUGGCCCAUCAAGGGACAUUCUUCUGCAGCGAAGCUUGAAGGAGCGAUGAAGACAUUGGUCUUUUAUAUCUUCAAUGACAUCAGCUUCAAUGCUCAAGACUUCUUUAUCAGACAAUUGGCUGCAUCAGGCUCUGAUCUCUUUGGUCUGAAGUUCUACGCUCCAUGGGUUAUGCGCCUUAUCAAGCUUUACUCAGCUGUCAACUAUCAGCCCUCUGCACGCAACCAUCUGAUAUUCUUGCCAGGGGUUGAUAUGUCUAUUGAAGCCAUAUACCCAGAGCCUGCCAAGGAGCCCAUUUAUCUUCACAAUGCUGAUCACCAAAGCUUCACACAGCCCAUUGUAGGAGUCCAGGCAGUCACGCGUGUUUAUCCUUUGGCUGGCAAUACACGUGGCCCUCAUCAUGCCAAUACUGAAGCCACUGAGAGCACAAUUGCGCAAAGGCCUCGAAAGCGAUCUCGUGUUCUCAAUGAUCGAGAGCUUCUCGUCGCCCUGCAUCAGAAACAGGAUAAGCAUCACUACUGGCUGAAGCGAAAAAUCCAAAGCCUCUUGGUGGAUGUCAAUCGCAUUCGCAACCUUGCUACCAAGAAUGCCUUUGUCACUCAUGAAACUUGUCGGAGGUCAUGGAAGAGUUUGACAUUGCUCAGUGCUGAAGCAGAUCUUCAAGACGAUGGCUUCACUGGAAGAUUCAAGUUCGACUCCACUCCUCCAAGGAAUGCUGUCUUGCGUCAAACUCCCUCUCUUGAAGACUCUGAUUAUUCCUCCUCAGCUGCACUGGUGAAUGCCAGAGUCAUAGAUGAUCAAGAUGAUGCUACUUCACCACCUCCAACUUCAGCGCGUGUCGACACUGCACCAAGUUCUUCUGCACCGCCAAACCCCGACGCCGACCCUGCAACUUCACCUACUCCUUCUGGGAACGUGUAG
This 1041-nucleotide ribosomal RNA is filed under the name Triticum aestivum (bread wheat). RNAcentral's name for it is "partial small subunit ribosomal RNA". Lineage: Eukaryota; Viridiplantae; Streptophyta; Magnoliopsida; Poales; Poaceae. The record is from RNAcentral.